GUAGGUGAAGUGACUUGCUCACGGAGCUGAAACCAGUCGAAGAUACCAGCUGGCUGCAACUGUUUAUUAAAAACACAGCACUGUGCAAACACGAAAGUGGACGUAUACGGUGUGACGCCUGCCCGGUGCCGGAAGGUUAAUUGAUGGGGUUAUCCGCAAGGAGAAGCUCUUGAUCGAAGCCCCGGUAAACGGCGGCCGUAACUAUAACGGUCCUAAGGUAGCGAAAUUCCUUGUCGGGUAAGUUCCGACCUGCACGAAUGGCGUAAUGAUGGCCAGGCUGUCUCCACCCGAGACUCAGUGAAAUUGAACUCGCUGUGAAGAUGCAGUGUACCCGCGGCAAGACGGAAAGACCCCGUGAACCUUUACUAUAGCUUGACACUGAACAUUGAGCCUUGAUGUGUAGGAUAGGUGGGAGGCUUUGAAGCGUGGACGCCAGUCUGCGUGGAGCCAACCUUGAAAUACCACCCUUUAAUGUUUGAUGUUCUAACGUAGACCCGUAAUCCGGGUUGCGGACAGUGUCUGGUGGGUAGUUUGACUGGGGCGGUCUCCUCCUAAAGCGUAACGGAGGAGCACGAAGGUUAGCUAAUCCUGGUCGGACAUCAGGAGGUUAGUGCAAUGGCAUAAGCUAGCUUGACUGCGAGCGUGACGGCGCGAGCAGGUGCGAAAGCAGGUCAUAGUGAUCCGGUGGUUCUGAAUGGAAGGGCCAUCGCUCAACGGAUAAAAGGUACUCCGGGGAUAACAGGCUGAUACCGCCCAAGAGUUCAUAUCGACGGCGGUGUUUGGCACCUCGAUGUCGGCUCAUCACAUCCUGGGGCUGAAGUAGGUCCCAAGGGUAUGGCUGUUCGCCAUUUAAAGUGGUACGCGAGCUGGGUUUAGAACGUCGUGAGACAGUUCGGUCCCUAUCUGCCGUGGGCGCUGGAGAAUUGAGGGGGGCUGCUCCUAGUACGAGAGGACCGGAGUGGACGCAUCACUGGUGUUCGGGUUGUCAUGCCAAUGGCAUUGCCCGGUAGCUAAAUGCGGAAAAGAUAAGUGCUGAAAGCAUCUAAGCACGAAACUUGCCCCGAGAUGAGUUCUCCCUUG
RNAcentral lists this ribosomal RNA (1080 nucleotides) under Enterobacter sp. BIGb0383. RNAcentral describes it as "bacterial LSU rRNA". It matches the Rfam family "Bacterial large subunit ribosomal RNA", at positions 1742 to 2818 of the family's 2925-position model. RNAcentral also lists the same sequence under 1 other name. Lineage: Bacteria; Pseudomonadati; Pseudomonadota; Gammaproteobacteria; Enterobacterales; Enterobacteriaceae. The record is from RNAcentral.